This 585-nucleotide ribosomal RNA is filed under the name uncultured Serratia sp. RNAcentral describes it as "bacterial SSU rRNA". It matches the Rfam family "Bacterial small subunit ribosomal RNA", at positions 28 to 602 of the family's 1533-position model. Lineage: Bacteria; Pseudomonadati; Pseudomonadota; Gammaproteobacteria; Enterobacterales; Yersiniaceae. The record is from RNAcentral.
AUUGAACGCUGGCGGCAGGCUUAACACAUGCAAGUCGAGCGGUAGCACAAGGGAGCUUGCUCUCUGGGUGACGAGCGGCGGACGGGUGAGUAAUGUCUGGGAAACUGCCUGAUGGAGGGGGAUAACUACUGGAAACGGUAGCUAAUACCGCAUAACGUCGCAAGACCAAAGAGGGGGACCUUCGGGCCUCUUGCCAUCAGAUGUGCCCAGAUGGGAUUAGCUAGUAGGUGGGGUAAUGGCUCACCUAGGCGACGAUCCCUAGCUGGUCUGAGAGGAUGACCAGCCACACUGGAACUGAGACACGGUCCAGACUCCUACGGGAGGCAGCAGUGGGGAAUAUUGUACAAUGGGCGCAAGCCUGAUGCAGCCAUGCCGCGUGUGUGAAGAAGGCCUUCGGGUUGUAAAGCACUUUCAGCGAGGAGGAAGGUGGUGAACUUAAUACGUUCAUCAAUUGACGUUACUCGCAGAAGAAGCACCGGCUAACUCCGUGCCAGCAGCCGCGGUAAUACGGAGGGUGCAAGCGUUAAUCGGAAUUACUGGGCGUAAAGCGCACGCAGGCGGUUUGUUAAGUCAGAUGUGAAAUCC